GAUUUGUUCUGGCUUACAGGGGCUCUCGUGGCUUUAACUAACCCAGUCGGACCGAGGCUGCUGCUGUAACCGGGCAAGGUUAGCAUUGCAUGCAGCUCUUACGACCGGUGUUCCCAGCUCGCAAGCUUGCACCCUGAAUUUGUCAAAAGCCCAGAAACCAAGCUACCUCGUUUUUCAAAAUAUAACCAUCGAGGCAUAUAUUCUUAUCUUCUGUAGCGUACUGUUUCUGUCUCGAUUUAGGACUUGCUUUUUUUUUUUUUUUUUUUUUUUUUUUCCCCUCCUCUCUCGCUAGGUCUCAGAGCUAGCCAAUGUGAACUGGAGUGCCUGAAAUAUUUCUGGUGGGAUUUUUCUUUCAUUACAAUCGUCGGAUUAUAUAGCACUGGCAACAUCACUUUAGGCUGUUUCGCAAGAAAUAUUUCAGGCUGUGGACAUCGUUUUCUACUGCACUGCAAUUUUGCAAAUAUCCCCACUUCCUAAAACGAUAGAACAGUAGGGACUGCAUUUCCAAAACUGCAAUACARUGCAAUUGUGUCAUCUCGUAGAUCUGAGCUAAAUGGUUUGAUUCCACAAACUCCUCAUAUGCCAUCCAUAAAGGGGAUUCAGAGCAUGCAAACCUACACUCCCGGCCAUUUAGACGAGCCUUAGACUUUUGGCGAGUUCGAGUCCUUUUGUUAGUGCCAAAGUUAGGAGAUCGGACUAAAUUGGGCUUACGGUAGGAAAGGACUUGCUACCUUUACUGUGGGACCCGCGAGUCCAUUACAUGCUGAUUUACACAGAAAUAUCUGUGUUGUCACUGUACUCUGCUCUCCUAAAUCGUUAGAAAGAAACUGAAAGUAACUAAUCGGACGCAGCACUAAAAUCGCUCUUGCACCCAAAGAGGAGGUAAAGCGUGACUUCCUUAAACUCGCUGAGAAGUUUAGAGGAGGGAGGGAGAAGGUAGGAGAGGUUCAGGCAUCCUCAUCCCCCCAGAAAGGUCGCUGUCCGCUGCGCGUCGGUGCGAAGCAGCGGCCCCGGGCCGGCUCCCGCGGGCGGGCGCAGCCGCGGCGCCCCGGGACGGCAGCGCCCCGGGACAGCGGCGCCGGCGCCGCCUCGCCACCUCCGCGAGGGCGCUUUGCAGGCGACGGGCUCGGUGACCGCCGAGCACCCCCUCCGACCCUGCCUUUGGGAGGACCGGUCUCUUCAAGCCUUCCGGCAGCGCCGGCCCGAAGGUGCCGCCUCUGCCGCGAGUCGCUCCCGUGCGCGAUUCCGACAAAAUGCCCCCGCGGUAGCAAAUCUGCCGCGCGAGCCGGGCGGCUUUUCUGUUGCAAACCACAGCAGGACUGGAAGCCUUGCCAUCCCAUCCGCAGCUCCUCCUCCGGGAAGAGGAUGGACGGGACCUCCGUGACACUGCCGGUGGCAGGGCGUGCUCCCGAGGAGUUCACGGGAAGCAGGUGGCUGCGUUAA
Molecule: long non-coding RNA, 1443 nt
Filed under: Apteryx haastii (Great spotted kiwi)
Lineage: Eukaryota; Metazoa; Chordata; Aves; Apterygiformes; Apterygidae
Description: lncRNA (ENSAHAG00000012938.1)
Source: RNAcentral